AGGAGCAACAGCCCCAGUGGCGGGGCAGCUCUGGAAACCUGGAUUCAGCUCCGGCAGGAACUCCGGAGCUCUCCGUCUGCAGGGCCUGGAGGCUCCGGGGCGGG
RNAcentral lists this microRNA precursor (104 nucleotides) under Canis lupus familiaris (dog). RNAcentral's name for it is "mir-8834 microRNA precursor family". It matches the Rfam family "mir-8834 microRNA precursor family". RNAcentral also lists the same sequence under 1 other name. Lineage: Eukaryota; Metazoa; Chordata; Mammalia; Carnivora; Canidae. The record is from Rfam by way of RNAcentral.